This is a long non-coding RNA of Puntigrus tetrazona (Sumatra barb), 1193 nucleotides long. RefSeq lists it as uncharacterized. The transcript is spliced from 3 exons. The record is from RefSeq and is a predicted model, not a curated record. Lineage: Eukaryota; Metazoa; Chordata; Actinopteri; Cypriniformes; Cyprinidae.
UCUCUCUCUCUCUCUCUAGCUCUCUCUCUCUAGCUCUCUCUCUCUAGCUCUCUCUCUCUAGCUCUCUCUCUCUCUAUCUAUUUCCCUCUCCCCUUUCCUGCUGUGUCGCACUUCUCUUUCUCUUCCCAUAAGUCGUACCUCUCUCUGCUCCCUUCUCAUUUGUCUUUCACUUUCUCCCACAUGUGUUUGUCUGCUUCAGAUGGGCUGCAGUACCUUUUGCAUUUGAGGAAAGUUUCUUUUUUUUCUGUCCUUUUGGACUGAAAACAGGCGUGCACACCUUCUUCAGCUGGUGUUGGCACGGCCACAGACAGAUGCUUCAAACAGCUGUCAUCAAAAUGUCCAGAAGAUGGCGCCAUAGACCAGUAUGAGUUCUUGGCUCUUCCGUUACUAAAAAGAUGUUUCUGUUUCUGAAAUCCACACUCUUUUGCCACACAUUGUGUUUAAGAAAUUAAAGAGCUUGUUACCUGUAGGGGCAUUAAACUAUAAUUUUUUUUUUUAUCUAAAGAAAUAAUUGUUAUCUGUCUUUUAGCCUGUGAAGCUGUUGCCUGACCUGCAUUCGGCAGUCAUGUUUUUCUGUUAGUCUUUUGUGACAGAGAACAAAUGUACUUUAUUGGAUGAUGUAAUGGCACGCCUCAGUCAUAUGAUACACUGUGUGUGUAUAUAAUGUGUCAUUUCUGUAAUUUUUUUGUGAACAGAAUUAAAUACAGUUUUCAUUUGUGCACAUGAGCGCAUACAUUGCUGAAAGUGAAUGUACAGUUGUAGUUGGUCCUGGCUUAUCCAGGUCGGUUUAUUUACAGUUCUUAAAAUUAUACCUUGUCUAACAAAUACUACCAAACAACAAAAAAAAACUAAACGCAGAAAACAUUUUCACGCACUUUUAAUGCUUACAUUGAGUCAUUACAUUUUAAUUUGACCUAGUUCAUUUUGUGGUCACAAUUCAUAUUUAGUGUUUUUCUUUUUUUUUUGAUUAUUCAUUUAUUCUUUAUUUUAUGUAAUUUGUUUCACUCAGCAUAAUUUGUGAUCAAAUGGCGAUCCCUUGCUAUAAUGGAGAAAACUUUAUAAUAUUAUCUAAAUCAGUGGUUCCCAAUCUUGUUUGAGGCACCCUUGGAAAGCCUUUCAAAAGUUCCCGGCACCCUUAUAAGGAAAUAGAUAUUUAAAAUCUCUGUAGCUUUUUUAUUAUUAUUUAUUUAUUU